GAUGAAAGAGGGAGGAGGGAAGAAUACAUGCAAGUCGAGCGAACAGACGAGGAGCUUGCUCCUCUGACGUUAGCGGCGGACGGGUGAGUAACACGUGGAUAACCUACCUAUAAGACUGGGAUAACUUCGGGAAACCGGAGCUAAUACCGGAUAAUAUAUUGAACCGCAUGGUUCAAUAGUGAAAGACGGUUUUGCUGUCACUUAUAGAUGGAUCCGCGCCGCAUUAGCUAGUUGGUAAGGUAACGGCUUACCAAGGCAACGAUGCGUAGCCGACCUGAGAGGGUGAUCGGCCACACUGGAACUGAGACACGGUCCAGACUCCUACGGGAGGCAGCAGUAGGGAAUCUUCCGCAAUGGGCGAAAGCCUGACGGAGCAACGCCGCGUGAGUGAUGAAGGUCUUCGGAUCGUAAAACUCUGUUAUUAGGGAAGAACAAAUGUGUAAGUAACUAUGCACGUCUUGACGGUACCUAAUCAGAAAGCCACGGCUAACUACGUG
This 497-nucleotide ribosomal RNA is filed under the name uncultured bacterium. RNAcentral describes it as "partial 16S ribosomal RNA". It matches the Rfam family "Bacterial small subunit ribosomal RNA", at positions 28 to 507 of the family's 1533-position model. The record is from RNAcentral.